UGAGUUUGAUCAUGGCUCAGAACGAACGCUGGCGGCAGGCUUAACACAUGCAAGUCGAACGGGCGCAGCAAUGCGUCAGUGGCAGACGGGUGAGUAACGCGUGGGAACGUACCUUUCGGUUCGGAAUAACUCAGGGAAACUUGAGCUAAUACCGGAUACGCCCUUUGGGGGAAAGAUUUAUUUGCCGAAAGAUCGGCCCGCGUCCGAUUAGCUAGUUGGUGAGGUAAAGGCUCACCAAGGCGACGAUCGGUAGCUGGUCUGAGAGGAUGAUCAGCCACACUGGGACUGAGACACGGCCCAGACUCCUACGGGAGGCAGCAGUGGGGAAUAUUGGACAAUGGGCGCAAGCCUGAUCCAGCCAUGCCGCGUGAGUGAUGAAGGCCCUAGGGUUGUAAAGCUCUUUCGCCAGGGACGAUAAUGACGGUACCUGGAUAAGAAGCCCCGGCUAACUUCGUGCCAGCAGCCGCGGUAAUACGAAGGGGGCUAGCGUUGUUCGGAAUCACUGGGCGUAAAGCGCACGUAGGCGGAUUGUUAAGUCAGGGGUGAAAUCCCGAGA
Molecule: ribosomal RNA, 556 nt
Filed under: uncultured bacterium
Lineage: Bacteria
Description: bacterial SSU rRNA
Rfam family: Bacterial small subunit ribosomal RNA
Source: RNAcentral